RNAcentral lists this ribosomal RNA (722 nucleotides) under uncultured bacterium. RNAcentral describes it as "bacterial SSU rRNA". It matches the Rfam family "Bacterial small subunit ribosomal RNA", at positions 9 to 692 of the family's 1533-position model. The record is from RNAcentral.
GAGUUUGAUCCUGGCUCCGGAUAAACGCUGGCGGCGCACAUAAGACAUGCAAGUCGAACGGAAGUCGUUAUAAUGAUUUUGAUUUGGAUUUGAUGAUUCGUCUGAUAUGAAGAAGAUGAUGAUUUAUAACAAUGGCUUUAGUGGCGGACUGGUGAGUAACGCGUAAGCAAUCUGCCUAUUAGAGGGGAAUAACAGUGAGAAAUCAUUGCUAAUACCGCAUAUGCCAUAGUUAUCGCAUGAUAAUAGUGGGAAAGGAGUAAUCCGCUAAUAGAUGAGCUUGCGUCUGAUUAGUUAGUUGGUGGGGUAACGGCCUACCAAGACCACGAUCAGUAGCCGGACUGAGAGGUUGAACGGCCACAUUGGGACUGAGAUACGGCCCAGACUCCUACGGGAGGCAGCAGUCGGGAAUAUUGCGCAAUGGAGGAAACUCUGACGCAGUGACGCCGCGUAUAGGAUGAAGGUUUUCGGAUUGUAAACUAUUGUCGUUAGGGAAGAUAAAAGACAGUACCUAAGGAGGAAGCUCCGGCUAACUACGUGCCAGCAGCCGCGGUAAUACGUAGGGAGCAAGCGUUAUCCGGAUUUAUUGGGUGUAAAGGGUGCGUAGACGGGAAGACGAGUUAGUUGUGAAAUCCCUCGGCUUAACUGAGGAACUGCAACUAAAACUAUCUUUCUUGAGUGCGGGAGAGGAAAGUGGAAUUCCUAGUGUAGCGGUGAAAUGCGUA